RNAcentral lists this long non-coding RNA (540 nucleotides) under Androctonus crassicauda. The record is from RNAcentral. Lineage: Eukaryota; Metazoa; Arthropoda; Arachnida; Scorpiones; Buthidae.
AUAAAAUUUGCUAUCGUAAAUGGUAUUGGUUGUUUUGUUUAAAUAUGUGCUUUAUGUGGAUUAUAGGAAAGUCAAUAAAUUUGUUUUCAUCAUUACAAUAUCUUCAUACUAUUGGCUGGAUUGGCCUCAUAGAAGCUUUUCGGAUUUUCACCUGGAAGACCCAAGUUCCAUUAUCUGGCCCCACUCACCUGGAAAAUUUAUUCAUGGGUCUGGGCAGGCCAUCGAUCCCUGUUCUCCACAAUCCACUCUGCAGGAAUAGCAAGCCUGAGGACGGACUUGUUUCAUUCUGUCACUUACAAGUUAGUAUCUGACAACGAUCUAAUUGUUGAUUGAUCCCUAGUAUGAGUAUUUAGAAUUAAAUUGUUAUUUUAGUAAUUAUUUUAAAUUAAGACUAUCUGCCACGUCUGUUGAAUGAAUAAUUAAUUCAACCAAUUUAAUUAGACAGUGGUUUAUAUAACUUCAAAAUUGAUAUGACUAUAACGUCUGUUAUCCAUCAGCCAAAUAAAUAAACAUUCAACUACAGGAUAUUUUUAUUUCUCA